RNAcentral lists this ribosomal RNA (439 nucleotides) under uncultured bacterium. RNAcentral describes it as "bacterial SSU rRNA". It matches the Rfam family "Bacterial small subunit ribosomal RNA", at positions 29 to 498 of the family's 1533-position model. The record is from RNAcentral.
AGUGAACGCUGGCGGCGUGCUUCAGGCAUGCAAGUCGAACGGACCUUCGGGUCAGUGGCGGACGGGGUGAGUAACACGUAAGUAACCUGCCCAGAAGUGGGGAAUAACUAGCCGAAAGGUUGGCUAAUACCGCAUGUGAUGGGUCUUCCCUGGAGGACUCAUGAAAGAUUUAUCGCUUCUGGAGGGGCUUGCGGUCGAUUAGCUAGUUGGUGGGGUAAUGGCCUACCAAGGCGACGAUCGAUAGCUGGUCUGAGAGGAUGAUCAGGCACACUGGAACUGAGACACGGUCCAGACUCCUACGGGAGGCAGCAGUGGGGAAUAUUGCACAAUGGAGGAAACUCUGAUGCAGCAACGCCGCGUGGGAGGAUGACGCAUUUCGGUGUGUAAACUCCUUUUAUAAGGGAAGAUAAUGACGGUACCUUAUGAAUAAGCACCGGCU